CCAAGGAGUCUAAUUAGGCAUCGAGUCGAUCGGUCUUGAUAGGCCAGAGCGAGGAACUUGUUCCUCAACUGAAGGCGUAGAGAAAUCAAAUCAUGUGAUCGUUGGGCUAAUACACAAGCCUGACGCGCAACAUGUGCCUGUUCGUAUAGCAAUGUGCCUUAAAACACUUGCUGGGCGGAGCAAAGAGAUGCCUGAUUGGUACCCGAAAGAUGGUGAACUAUGCUUGGGCAAAUUGAAGCCAGAGGAAACUCUGGUGGAGGAUUGUAGCGAUUCUGACGUGCAAAUCGAUCGUCAGACCUGAGUAUAGGGGCGAAAGACUAAUCGAACCAUC
RNAcentral lists this ribosomal RNA (331 nucleotides) under Asetacus sp. ASENH6. RNAcentral describes it as "eukaryotic LSU rRNA". It matches the Rfam family "Eukaryotic large subunit ribosomal RNA", at positions 666 to 944 of the family's 3401-position model. The record is from RNAcentral. Lineage: Eukaryota; Metazoa; Arthropoda; Arachnida; Trombidiformes; Diptilomiopidae.